This 1517-nucleotide long non-coding RNA is filed under the name Homo sapiens (human). RNAcentral's name for it is "HSALNT0352120". The record is from RNAcentral. Lineage: Eukaryota; Metazoa; Chordata; Mammalia; Primates; Hominidae.
CAUUUUCUACAAGACCCCAAGAGAUGGACUUUCCUCUCCCCUUCCUCCUUUUAGAAAUGGCAUCCUUCAUCUCUGUCUAGGCAGGCCCAAUUAUCCAGAUACUUGGGGCUCCAAUAGGGUCUGAGUCAUUGGAACCAGGAACACCUGGCUGAAACAUGCCACAUAAUUAGAUUUUCUUUUUCUUUACCUUUUCUUUCUUAUUUUUAUAAGAGGCCCGGAAUUAGCCUCUUCGACUGGGGCGGAGUAGCUGGGGUGUGGGAAAGGAACACCUUCAUACAACUUCCAGCUUUCAGCCCCUUGGAGAGAUUUCCAAAUUCCCCAGAGCCUCUAGGACUUCCUUUCCUCGAUCUCUCGGCCACCUCCUCCUCCUUCUCCGAUCUGUUUUUUUUUCCCUCCUCCCACUGUCUUCUCUAUGGUUUAAUCAAAGUUCAGCGACUCCACUUGCCUCUCCUCUCAUUUCUUUCGGAAAGGGGAAACCAGACGACCCAGCGGCCACGGGACGAGUCGCCCCAACUCAACCCCAGCAGGACGCUGGAGGGGCCUCCCUUGCCCACCUCUCUUCGCUGGCACUGGCCUCCUGCACCCGGGUCUGCAGUCCCUCCGCCAUCUCACAAGUGUGCAGCCGCUAGGCCUGGGGGAUCCGAAUGACUGGGGCUGGAUAGGAAUGCCUUCGUGUUUCCCAAGACCCCCGGGCCUGCUCCACAAAGUUUGAAGGGAGCCCCUGUUUUAAGAAGGAGGCCAAAUGUGCAGGCUCAGGCCAAGCAGCAGAGAUGAAUGAGGUGAUGACCACAGCCUUGAUCCGGCAGGAGCUCAGAGAUGCCCGGGAAGACGGGGGGCCCGAAUGGAAGCAGAAAAACACUUAUGGCCGCUGGGAAGUUGGGAGAGCCAGGCUGGGACUCCGGCAGGCCCAGGGAAAGUUCCCCUUCUAGGCUCUUUAUUAAAAAAUUUAAAAGGAGGAGUUGAGGCGCCUUGAAUUUUCCUUCGCGAGUUUGGAGACCAGCCGAUUUUUCACGAAGCAAGCAAAGACCGCGGUCCCGGAUCCUGCAACAUAUACCUCAUUUUCUCCAGGCCUCUCCACUUGCCCGAGCUCUCAGCCACCAGGAGACAGACGGAAGGGGCUUCUGGGCUGUGUUGGGAGCGGGCAUUGUCCCCUACCCACUCCUGCACAGUUUCCCAAAGUCCAGCCACCUCCGACCCUCCUUGGGGGAAAAAAUACCAGUACCCAGACACCUCUGCACCCUGUUAUAUGACUGGGCUUGCUUCAGGAAUAUCUUACAAAGAAGAAGGAGGAGGAGGAGGAACGGCUUGGAGUCAUGUUUACAUCUAGUUCUACUGAUCCGUUCACAUCUGGAGAGUUUAUUUAUAACUCCCUCUAUAACUCUCUGUUUGGAGGCACUGGUGGCUCUACUGACAGACUGAUGUCUAGGAAAUAUUGCUCUAUGUCUAAUGGUACCUAAAUGUGCUGUGGUUGUAUUUACAGAUUUACGUUUGAGGGAAAUAUAAUUAUUUCCAUUGUA